Molecule: ribosomal RNA, 429 nt
Filed under: Chloroflexota bacterium
Lineage: Bacteria; Bacillati; Chloroflexota
Description: Chloroflexi bacterium partial 16S ribosomal RNA
Rfam family: Bacterial small subunit ribosomal RNA
Source: RNAcentral
UGGGGAAUAUUGCACAAUGGGCGCAAGCCUGAUGCAGCCAUGCCGCGUGUAUGAAGAAGGCCUUCGGGUUGUACAGUACUUUCAGUCGGGAGGAAGGUGGUAAGGUUAAUAACCUUAUCAAUUGACGUUACCGACAGAAGAAGCACCGGCUAACUCCGUGCCAGCAGCCGCGGUAAUACGGAGGGUGCAAGCGUUAAUCGGAAUUACUGGGCGUAAAGCGCACGCAGGCGGUUGAUUGAGUCAGAUGUGAAAUCCCCGGGCUCAACCUGGGAACUGCAUCUGAUACUGGCAAGCUUGAGUCUCGUAGAGGGGGGUAGAAUUCCAGGUGUAGCGGUGAAAUGCGUAGAGAUCUGGAGGAAUACCGGUGGCGAAGGCGGCCCCCUGGACGAAGACUGACGCUCAGGUGCGAAAGCGUGGGGAGCAAACAGG